RNAcentral lists this transfer RNA (77 nucleotides) under Pseudomonas aeruginosa. RNAcentral describes it as "tRNA-Val". The record is from RNAcentral. Lineage: Bacteria; Pseudomonadati; Pseudomonadota; Gammaproteobacteria; Pseudomonadales; Pseudomonadaceae.
UGGAUUCGAACCAACGACCCCCACCAUGUCAAGGUGGUGCUCUAACCAACUGAGCUACGUGCCUGCUGAUGGCGCGC